ACUCUACCCACUCAGGUUGCCCAGAGAGCACUUUAGGUUCUGACCCGCGUGGGGCGCGAGGUCCCCCGUGGGGCAGCUAGGUGCCUCCAAGAAACCCCGCCCCAGAGGACCCGCACGAGUUGCUGCCAUUUUUCGCUGAAGCCCCUGCCCUGGGGCUGGUGUUCUUCUCUAUGAUUCUACCAAUCGUCGGCAUUUUUUUCCUCCCUUCUUUCUUUUUAGGAAGGCGCUGGGGUGUGCGGCGGCAACGGCGGCGGUGAAGGGAUCCUCUUGUGGUAUCUCCUCGUGGGUUCCUGUCUUGAAGGAUUUCUUCUCCGCCUCAACUUUGUGUUCAAGUAGCGCUUUGGGGGUUGGGUUGGUUUUCAUAGCCCCCACCCCCGGCCCUCUCCUUUUAAAGGGUGUGUGGAGUUCAGAGGAUGGGUGGAGAGCGGGCUUGGCCGGAACUGAAUUGGUGGAGGUAAAAGGGGAACGGAGGACCUUAAGCUCUGGCCACUUCGGCCCAGGGAACCCACUUUAUUUUUGUCCAAGGAAAAGCUGCAGGGGGGAGGAUUCUUUUUAGGAAGUCUACUCUGCCGGACCCUGAUUUUUGGGUUGGAUGCUUGAGAGCUUUGUUUCCCUUGUUCCGAGAGUGGCCCAGCUGGGUCUGAAUCGACUCCCUCCCCUUUCGAUCCCCUCCUCAUUUUCCAGCCCGGAGAAAUAGGGGAGUGGGGGCCCAAGAACGAGAAGACGAGAACGCGUCGCCCUGCGCUAUGUCAGAAUGGGGCGGGUGUGAGGGGAACAGCUCUCUUGCUAUCAGCUCAGGAGUAUGAGCCUCCCGGAGGACGGCAUGAGUUUUGGACACUUCAGGAGUCCUCAGCUAGUGACAUGGUCGAUAUGGAUAAACUCAUAAACAACUUGGAAGUCCAACUUAAUUCAGAAGGUGGCUCAAUGCAGGUAUUCAAGCAGGUCACUGCUUCUGUUCGGAACAGAGAUCCCCCUGAGAUAGAAUACAGAAGUAAUAUGACUUCUCCAACACUCCUGGAUGCCAACCCCAUGGAGAACCCAGCACUGUUUAAUGACAUCAAGAUUGAGCCCCCAGAAGAACUUUUGGCUAGUGAUUUCAGCCUGCCCCAAGUGGAACCAGUUGACCUCUCCUUUCACAAGCCCAAGGCUCCUCUCCAGCCUGCUAGCAUGCUACAAGCUCCAAUACGUCCCCCCAAGCCACAGUCUUCUCCCCAGACCCUUGUGGUGUCCACGUCAACAUCUGACAUGAGCACUUCAGCAAACAUUCCUACUGUUCUGACCCCAGGCUCUGUCCUGACCUCUCAGAGCACUGGUGGCCAGCAGAUCUUACAUGUCAUUCACACUAUCCCCUCAGUCAGUCUGCCAAAUAAGAUGGGUGGCCUGAAGACCAUCCCAGUGGUAGUGCAGUCUCUGCCCAUGGUGUAUACUACUUUGCCUGCAGAUGGGGGCCCUGCAGCCAUUACAGUCCCACUCAUUGGAGGAGAUGGUAAAAAUGCUGGAUCAGGUAAGUAACAAUAUUGCCCCUUUCCUGGCCUUCCUGAAUCUAUUCCCUUUUUGAGUCAUCCUAUCUCCUGUCUCUUUUCACUUCCUCCAAUUAUUCUUGCACACUGCUUCAAAAGUAAUCUUUCAAAAGUACUGUUUUUUAUCAUGUUUUUUUAAUGCUUAAGAAUGUACAAUGACUCUUGAUUAGACCAUGCUUCUCAAACAAGUAUGCAUAUCUAUCAGUGACAUAUCAAACAACUUCCUGGAACUUCCAUAUUAUUUGAUAUUAAAUAAUUUAAGCAUUUUAUAUUUAAAAUAUGAUUAUCUUGUAUUACAAAAUGCAAAAUUUAAAAACCUGUUAAGAUAAACCACAUACUUCAAAAAUAGUUGAAGCUUACUAAAGGCAUCCACUCUCAGACUCUUCAGGAGAAUGUGUUCAUUUUAUGCCAUUCAGAAUGCUUUGGUGGAAAAGUUGAGAACAAUAUUUCUAUCUCAAACAUACUUAGCCAGUAUUAGCUCCUGCCUCUACCAAUACUUUCCCUUUUCUCUUCCCUACAAAAGAAGUAAUUGAAAUAUUGUCAUCUUCCCUGUAUUCUUCCUCAUUUGGCAUCUAUCACUUUCCAUUUUACUUAUUUAUUUGCCUGUAUCACAAGUGUCUGGGCAUUAUUCACAACUGAAUUGUAAAUUCCUGAAAAAUAAUACUCUAUCUUAAUUUUUUUUAUGUAUGCCUUCAGAGAACUUAACACAGUGCUAGUAGUUGUCUUGCAACAGAUAAUUUGAUGAACAAACAAACUUGAAAAUUUGUCCAAGAGAGAAUUCAAAUGCUACAAUCUUCCAUUUUAUUUUAUUUUAAAAAUAAGUUCAGAAUUCAGAAAGGUAUAAAUUAAGUCUCUCUUCCACCACAAUCCCCCAACCACUAGUUCUCCUCCCAGAGGUGUAUCUGUUUUAGUUUGUAAUCAGGAAUGAUCAAGGAAAAUUAUGUGGCCUCUAAAGGAGGCUGAUAAUGUUUUGCAUAAAUCGGAAAGGCCAAGGGGUGGAAAUGACUAGGAAGCAGAUUUCAGCUUACUAUAAAAGAGUAUCUACCCUUGAAAUUUGAUGCCCUGUACUAAAUGUAGGAGGCUGAAAAACAACAUACUACUAAGCAUCAAGUUGCUGAGACUCUGCACUGGUCUUCUGAAUACAAAUAUUAUCAUUGACUAGUGGUUAAUUGUGGUAAUGAUAAGUGUUCAUAAUCUUAUUUUGAGAUAUGAUAUCCAUUCCAUAUAUGAAGGGAGAGCCAAACAAACAAACCAAAAAAAGGAAACAAACAAAAAAGGAAAUAAAAUUCCCCAUGUGAGAGUUUGCUGAGAUAAAGGCAGUGGUAGCAUCAAAGGAUGGUUUGAAGGAGCUUUAAAUAUUCCCCAUAAUAUCAUCAGUCCAUCAGAGCCACUCUAAAUAAACAGGAUAAAUUUUAAAUGUGCUCAGUGUGGUUCCAAGCUAAGGGCAUUGGCCCAAUGGUGUCUGUAUUAGUUCGUUUUCAUGCUGCUGAUAAAGACAUACUCGAGACUGGGAAGAAAAAGAGGUUUAAUUGGACUUACAGUUCCACAUGGCUGGGGAGGCCUCGGAAUCAUGGCGGGAGGCAAAAGGCACUUCUUACAUGGUGGCAGCAAGAGAAAAGGAAGAAAGAAUAGUGGAAACCCCUGAUAAGCCCAUCAGAUCUCAUGAGACUUAUUCAGUAUCAUGAGAAUAGCAGGGGAAAACUGGCCCCCAUGAUUCAAUUAACUCCUCCUGAGUCCCUCCCACAACAUGUGGAAAUUCUGAGAGAUACAAUGCAAGUUGAGAUUUGGGUGGGGGCACAGCCAAACCACAUCAAUAUCCAAAAUGGGGGGCUUACUAAACCUUAGGGGGCACAUAUAAAACAAUUGGAGUGCAAGAAGAAAGUAUCAAAGUUUGUAUUUUCUUACCCUUAAAAAUUGACAGGUAAUAUUGUAUGUUUUUAUCAUCUAUAGCAUGAUGUUUUGAAGUACAUAUGCAUUGUGGAAUGGUUAAAUCUAGCUAAAUAACGAAUGCAUUACCUUAUUAUCAUUUUUGUGGUGAGAACGCUUAAUAUCCAUUCUCUUUACAAUUUUAAUAAAUAAAAUGUAUCAUCAUUAACUAUACUUGCCUUGCUAUACAAUAGAUCUCUUGAAAUGGAUUCCUCCUAUCUAACUAUAAUUAUGUAUCCUUUGACCAACAUCUCCCCAUCCCCCUCCCCACUAGCCACCCCAGCCUCUGGUAACUACCAUUCUACUCUACUUGCAUGAGAUUAACUUUUUUAGAUUCCACAUAUGAGUGAGAUCAUGCACUAUUUGUCCUUCUGUGCCUGGCAUAUUUCACUUAACAUAAUGUCCUCCUGGUUCAUCUAUGCCCUCACAAAUGGCAGGAUUUUAUUCUUUGUUAUAGCUGAAUAAUAUUAUAUUGUGUAUAUAUAUGUCGCAUUUCAUUUAUUCAUUCAUUUGUUGAUAGAUAUUUUAGAUUGGUUCCACAUCUUGGCUAUUGUGAAUAAUGCUGCACUAAACAGGGAUGCAGAUAUCUUUUGGGCAUGUGAUUUUAUUUCCUUUGGAUAGAUACCCAAAAGGGAGAUUGCCAGAUCAUACGGUAGUUCUAAUUUUAAUUUUUUGAGGAAUCUCCAUACUAUUUUCCAUAAAGGCUAUAAAUAGUUUACAUUCCCAUCAACAGUGCGUAAGGGUUCCCUUUUCUCCACAUACUCACCAGCACUUACUGUCUUUUGUCUUUUUGAUAAUAAUCACUCUAACUUAAGUGAGAUGACGUACUACUUUUUGUUUGUUUUCUUAUAAUGUGUACAAAAUUGUAGGAUACCAAUACAUGUAUAUCACAUACAUGCACAAACAUGCACACCUCAAGAUACAUGCUUAAAACUUUUUAGUGAAUGAUAUGCAAAGUAUAGAGACAACUCUUUUAACCAAAUACUUGUUCCCCACCUUAUCACCACCCCCAAGUUUCUUCUCUAUAGAAAUUUUGAAGGUUUCACUGGAUCUAGGAGACUGUUGACCACCUGAUUGAGUUUUGUGAGGAAUUAGAAACAUCAGUGGUGAUAAUAAGGAAUAUUUGACAGCUUCUCCCAACAUAGGUGGAAAGGAAGGUUGUAUCAAGCACCUACUAGGUGGUAGGUGUAUGUUUCAUCUCAUUGACUCAUUUCUAUUUAGGAGCAGAAAGGCCAAGGUGGAUGUUCUCACAUCUGGACUAAUCCUAGAAUUUGAUUUUAGGACAGCCAGGAGCUAUUCAGUGAGUUCAAUUCAACACACACACACACACACACGUUGAAACUAACUUUUCAGCAGACCCUGUCCUGGUAGCUGGAGAUAGAGAGAUGAAUCAUACCCAGCCCAUAUCCUAGAGACACUCUCAUUUGAUACCACUCAGUGGUAUCAGAACUCUUCAUACUGCUCUUACUUUAAAGGCAUUUCUGUUCCCUGCUAUGCAAAAAAAAUAAAAUGUUAUUCUCUUCCUUCCAUGCAAAUACACUUCUUUCAUCUUGUUUUUUUUUUUUUUUCUUUAUUUCUCUAUCUUGCUGCCACUUCUUAAGGUGGGACAAAUUGGGAAUCCUGAAAAUGAUUAAAGAGGCACAUACAUCCUUAGCUCACACUGCUCCCUUUCUUUGCUUUUAGUGAAAGUUGACCCCACCUCCAUGUCUCCACUGGAAAUUCCAAGUGACAGUGAGGAGAGUACAAUUGAGAGUGGAUCCUCAGCCUUACAGAGUCUGCAGGGACUACAGCAAGAACCAGCAGCAAUGGCCCAAAUGCAGGGAGAAGAGUCGCUUGACUUGAAGAGAAGACGGAUUCACCAAUGUGACUUUGCAGGAUGCAGCAAAGUGUACACCAAGAGCUCUCACCUGAAAGCUCACCGCAGAAUCCAUACAGGAGAGAAGCCUUAUAAAUGCACCUGGGAUGGCUGCUCCUGGAAAUUUGCUCGCUCAGAUGAGCUCACUCGCCAUUUCCGCAAGCACACAGGCAUCAAGCCUUUUCGGUGCACAGACUGCAACCGCAGCUUUUCUCGUUCUGACCACCUGUCCCUGCAUCGCCGUCGCCAUGACACCAUGUGAGCUGCACAGGUCACACUAGAGAAGCUGCGCUGGUAUCUUUCCUGUGCGUGUGCUGAGGUCGGGACAAUUUUUUCCUCUUUGACUUCAGCUUGCAUAUGGGGUUGAAGCAGCCCACUGAGCCAAGUUGAGGAGACUGGAGGAAAAGAGAGCUGGUCUCCCGUGGGGCCCUUCAUAUUCUACCUUCACUUCUCCACUGUCCAGAUCCGUUUUUUUCAACCUCCACAUGGGUUGAAUUCCAGUGUGGCACCCAUGGCUGCCUUCCCAUCCCCCCUGCUCUGAAAUAGGACAUUUUUCCUACAGUAACAAAACAGGAAUCAAACUCAAGGCUGUGAACAAACAUACGCUGCUUUAUUCUUUCCAGUUUUUCUCUUGUUUUCUAGAACUCUUAUCCAUAUGUUUUUUAAAUAAGUACCUAAAAGUGGUUUGAUAGUGUCCUAAAUGACUUUUUUAACUUCCUAAAUGGAAAGAGCAUAACAGUGUAGUUGAUUGGUAAGAUUUACAGGGAUUUGGUUUCUGAGUUUGAGGCACAUCCCCAGUGAAUAAGCUGAGUCCCAUACCACACUCAAAAGGUUUUAAUAAAUCUAAUCCUAUUUCUUCUUAAAGUUUGGUUUUCAGACAGUGCUGGUACUUCUGCUUCUUAAGUUCAUCAAGGGAAUGAGGAGUUCUUGUCCUUCUCCUCCUCUUUUUCUUCUUUUCCACUUUCUCCUUCGGGAUUAAAGAUUUUGCUGCACAAUUAUUAUUUGUUAGGUUAAAUUUGGACAAAUAUUCAAAGCACACAUAGACAUAUCAGUAAGGAGAAAAAUGUUCCAGGAGAGUAGGUUGGGCAGUGACAGGAACAAACAGACCUAGGAUGAUCCUGAGAACAAAUAGAGGGAUUCAUUUACUUGGAUAGGAUAUCAAAAGUGCUGUUAAUCACAAACCUCAUUCAAAUGGCAGGCUGUCGAGACAGUGUCUUGAGGGGCUGGCUGUACUGUUUAUUUUUUCGUUUACACAAAGAAGCAAUUGAGUAUAUUGCAUGAUGAGAAAUCACACACUAGGGGCAUGUUAUACAGAAGUAAGGGGUUGGAAAAACGGAAUGUUGUUCACUCCAUGGAAUUAUUGGCAUUCAUUCCUGUGUUUCAAAUGAAACAUAAGAUGCUUUUCAUGAAAACUGACAUACAAAAAGCAAUUUGAUGUUCUGCAACUGCUAUGAAAACCUAAGCCAUUUAUUUUAGCUAUGAUAGCAGAUUGCAUAAUAUACUCAUUUAGCUGCCCAAUCAGAUUGUUUUAUAAUAUUACCUGGGGUACAAAAUCCUCUGUUCCUGGCCCUGGACCACAGAUCUACCUCCACAUGGCAUAUUUCCUUUCCUGGGGUCAGGGGUGGGGGAGGGGGCUUUGCAUCACUUGAAUUUGGACUCAGCCUCUCUUUUAAAGAUUGUCUUUAUAUUGAACACCUUUUUCUUUUCAACCCUGCUUGAAUACUUUAGGUUACUAUUUCCUGAGGCUGUCCAUUCUUACUAAAUUGUAGAAUUCUAGGCACCAAGAAGGGAUCCCAUUAACCAUCUAGUCCUACCCAUCUCUCAUAUUUUACAGAUGAGGCAAAUACGGGUCACAUUUUUUUCUCCAGAUGUUUCUUUGAGCCCUUAUACACCUGCACGCUUAUUCUCCUAGGGAUCACAUAAUUUUAUUUAUUUAUUUUUUGAGAGACGGUUUUACUCCGUCACCCAGGCUGGAGUGCAGUGGCGUAAUCUCAGCUCACUGCAACCUCCGCCUCCUGGAUUCAAGUGAUUCUCCUGCCUCAGCCUCCCAAAUAGCUUGGAUUACAGGUGCGUGCCACCACACCUGGCUAAGCUUUGUAUUAUUAGUAGAGAUGGGGUUUCGCCAUGUUGGCCAGGCUGGUCUCAAACUCCUGACCUCAAGUGAUCCCCCCACCUCCGCUUCCCAAAGUGCUGGGAUUACAGGCGUGAGCCACCACGCCUGGCCAGGAUCACAUUAUUAAACCAAAUUAAAGUUUAUGUGAUUGGUUGCAAUAUUUGUCUAAUUUUAUAUGUUAUUCUUCAGAAAAACUUUAGAACUCAAAAAUCAUUUACAGCUGAUUAAAUAGCAAGUAAAAUGUACUUGUGGUCAUUGCCGUAUAACAUUAGGCACACGCUUCUAACACUUCUAUAAUAUCUAGAUUUUAUUUACCUCAUUUUAACUUGCAAUGUCUGUCUAGCUCAUGAACUCUCCAUAAAUCCAAGAACUGCCUGUAGUUUUCAAAAUGACACAUGGGUUUUUACGGUUAUCAUUGUUAUUUCGAUAGGGCUUUUUCCUGAUUUUGGGUAUACAAGUUCCAAACUUGCAUAAUAAUUGCCAACGCACUAGGUGAUAUCUAGGGCCAGUCUGUUAAAGCGGACCUCUAAUGCAGCUGUAAGACAGAUUGGUAAAGAUGAACUAACAUAAGUUUAAGCUAAUAAUUCAGUAGUUGAUGCAGUAUUUCACAGUAGAGCCCGAGCUUACUCAUUUUCUUCAAAAUUUGGAUCCUGAUACUCCUUUUUCAGAGUUCAGAACUGAACUGCUCCCCUAAGAUCUCAGAAUCUUUUGCAUUGAGACAUAUGAUCUAUUUAUAAAUAAAGGUUAUCAAAUAUCUUGUUGAACUAAUUAGGUUGAUCAAAUUAGGAUCCCAAAUAUUGGGGUCCCUGACAUCUGAGCCUUUAUCUAAAAAUGUUUCUGUAACAUAAUGACAGCCUUUAUGUUUGUUAAUUGCCUAUAGUAAAGAAGCAAUUUUAAGCCUAUUCUCAUUUCCCUCUCCCCUCCAAAAAAUGAUAAAAGCUUUCUAAUUACUUACAUAUGCUCUAAGAAGUGUCUCAGGAUUCAUUAACAGAAUUUUAUAGAGUACAGGAAUUCAAAUAUAGGACAGUACAGAGUUUACCAAAAACACAUAAAACUUUGCUAGAUAGACAGUGAGGUGGAAAGGAACUAAAAUGUAUCUCUCUUGAAUAGCAUUUGGGGUUCUAUUGAAUUUGUUGUGUUUACAACAGCAAAGCACCUUUAGCCUGGACAGUUGCUUAGGGCAUCGAUAGGACUGGGUAAUAUUCUGGGAUUUGUUGCAGCAGAAUUCCUCUAUCUGAUGAUCAGCAGUUAAACAUAAACUUCAUAAUUAUAGUAAAAUUUAGGAAAAACUAUGAGUGUGAAGAGUAUGAACUGAUUGGGUAGAUUAGGAAGAGUGCAUUAUGGGCAAGACAAAGGUUUUCGAUAUUAACUUCUUUUAAAAUAAACUUUUUAUUUUCAAACAGUUUCAGAUUUACAGAAAAAAUGUGAAGCUAUUACAGAGAGGUCUCAUUUACCCCACACCCAGUUUCUCCUAUUAUUAACAUCUCACAUUAGUAUGUGGUAUAUUUGUUACAAUUAAUGAAACACAUUGAUAUGUUAAUAUU
This 8958-nucleotide small RNA is filed under the name Pongo abelii (Sumatran orangutan). Its description in RNAcentral is "retained intron". The record is from RNAcentral. Lineage: Eukaryota; Metazoa; Chordata; Mammalia; Primates; Hominidae.